GUGGUCUGCUAAAUGUUCAGUCUGUGGGAAAUAAAACUCUAGAUAUCCGUGAUUUCAUCAAAGAAAAGGAUCUUGACAUUUUAGCGGUAACUGAAACAUGGCUAAAUGACUACGACGUCGCCAAGAUUCGUGAGAUGACGCCAGGGUUGGAGUAAUUGUAAUUGUAAUUUAAUUAGAAUGUAAUUAAUUACAUUAAAGUAUGUAAUUGUAAUUGGAUGUAGAACUUAAUGAAGUAAUUGUAAUUAUAAUUAAUUACAUUAUAAAGUAAUUGUAAUUUAAUUGUAAUUGCGAAAAAAGUAAGUCAUACUAAAAUUCUGAUAAUCCUUGUUUUUACUGCUAUGGUGGCAAAUAUGUAAAUACUGUAUAUGAUGAAGUAUGGCAACCCUUACUGGACAACCUACGUAUUAUACGAGAAUCAGACGCGUCCACUUUUCCCUGUUUGGUGGACUGGGACAUAUUUCAUUGCUUCCUAGACCGUCAUACGGCAAAGUCCUCCUCUUGACUUUCUAUUGUAAAGCAGUGGUUGCCAACACACCCAGUCACAUGCAGGUGUAUAGAUUCCCCCGUCAGGAAAUCAUCAGGCUCUGUGAUGAGUUGCACCCCCACCUGGAAAGGAGAACCAGGAGGGCACAUGCACUCCCAACACACACCCAGGUUCUGGCUACACUAAGGUUUUUGAGACAGUGCGUAUCCUAUGGAGCCAUUCCUGAUGACCCCAGUUGCACGCCCGACAACGCCUGGGGAGGAAUGAUACAACAAGUCAUCACAGGACAAGAUGAGUUGUCGAACGGACCUUUGGGAUCCUCAAGUCAAGGUGCAGGUGCCUACAUAAGUCAGGAGGAAGUUUGCAGCAUGACCCCAAGAAGACUAUGAAGAUUGCGACUUCUUGUAUGCUCCUGCACAACUACUGAGUGGAUCGCUGCAGAAGAAGUACCAGUUCAGCCUGUGAGAAACAGCAGACUGAUUCCUGGUCAAGUUGUCAGGCAGGAAAUUAUUAGAAACUUCUUUUCCUGAGUAUAGGUAGGCAUAUAUGUAGACCUUGCAGUUAGUAAUAGAUUACUUUCAAAUGUAAAUGUGCACAACUCACAGUCGGAGGCAUAAGAACAAAACAAGAAAUCAUAAUGGCCACAUGUUCAGCAUUCUUGAUCACAAUUUUAUGGCGAUUAUUAUUAAUAUUUAAUUAAUAUCAGCUUACACCUGCAGAUUGCGUAUGGUGCACCGGUGGCCGAGUGG
Molecule: long non-coding RNA, 1233 nt
Organism: Eriocheir sinensis (Chinese mitten crab)
Lineage: Eukaryota; Metazoa; Arthropoda; Malacostraca; Decapoda; Varunidae
Exons: 3
Source: RefSeq, a predicted model, not a curated record